GAUGAACGCUAGCGGCAGGCCUAAUACAUGCAAGUCGAACGGGUGGUCGCAAGACCACUAGUGGCGCACGGGUGCGUAACGCGUAACCAACCUGCUCCGAUCUGGGGGAGAGCAUGACGAAAGGCGGAUUAAUACCGCAUAUAUCCGCAGCCUGGCAUCAGGCAACGGGGAAAGAUUUAUUGGAUCGGGAUGGGGUUGCGUGACAUUAGCUAGGUGGAGGGGUAAGGGCCCACCAAGGCGACGAUGUAUAGGGGACCUGAGAGGGUGAUCCCCCACACUGGCACUGAGAUACAGGCCAGACUCCUACUGGAGGCAGCACUAGGGAAUAUUGGGCAAUGGGCGAGAGCCUGACCCAGCCAUGCCGCGUGCCGGAUGAAGGCCUUCUGGGUUGUAAACGGCUUUUCUCAGGGAAAAAAAAGACCUUGCGAGGUACACUGACGGUACCUGAGGAAUAAGCACCGGCUAACUCCGUG
Molecule: ribosomal RNA, 473 nt
Filed under: uncultured bacterium
Lineage: Bacteria
Description: partial 16S ribosomal RNA
Rfam family: Bacterial small subunit ribosomal RNA
Source: RNAcentral